GACACAUCCGUUGUUUGGGUCAUCGUGUGCUCUGAGCUCAAGCGGUGAUCUCCUCCAGCGACUGCAAUCUUUCUUCUCCUUCCUUCACCAUCGAUAUAGCUGAUUUAACGCGCUCCUCUUCUCUCUUCGUGUCUGUUUGCUGUAGCUAUAUCGUGCAUAUAUCCUAAAUAUAUUUUAGCUGCAUCUCAUAUGCAAUAAUGGCCCUCUUAUGAAUCGGUUAAAAGAGGACAUCGGAAGGACGCUUUUUUGACAUUUCUGCAAAUGUUUUCGGUGGAUUUGAUUCAAACGGAGCGUGUCUGACCCGCACGAGUGGAGUUACAAGCUUCGAGGAGCAAAUAGACCCAGCGACAUUUGUGGACAUGAAGCCGACAUGCCUUUGUUUCCCCCUGGAGCGCAUCCUGUUGUUUUGAGGAUAGACAUCUGCAAUGAAGGAGUUGUGCAAAGAAGCAUGAACACCAUGCCUUCGUUUUGGUGGUAAAUGAUAGUUCCAUGCUUUUUCAAUAUUAUGUAACUGAAUAAUGGACGAUUUCUAUCAAACAUGAUCCAACGAAAAUGGUUCCUUGGUUACAGUUUGAUGGUUUUCUAAGUCUGGGGUGUGUAAUGCGUCCUCCAGCAUCAGUGAUGUUUCUCCAAGAUCCAGCUGUCUCAUCAGUGGAGGACAUUUGAAUUACUGUAGCACUUUUGUUGCUUAUUAAAGUUACUGCUGGUUGGUUAAAUGACAACAUGCAUCUUGGAGUAGAGGAGCCCAUUAGGGAGUGCCAGUACAAUCAGAUCUGUACUCGUAACUCCUCACCCAUUGAGACCCCUCACACGACGAAGUGGAAGAUCAAAAGGAAAUGGCAGGUUUUUCCUGGCCGAAAUAAAUUCUACUGCAACGGCAGGAUUAUGAUGGCAAAGCAGACUGGGGUCUUCUACCUUACCAUGGUUCUCAUUCUGGUGACCAGUGGCCUCUUCUUUGCCUUUGACUGCCCAUUCCUGGCAUCAAACCUGACUCCUGCCAUCCCAGCCAUUGGAGGAGUGCUGUUCUUCUUUGUAAUGGGAAUGCUGCUCAGAGCGAGCUUCAGCGACCCGGGUGUCCUACCCAGGGCCACACCAGAGGAAGCGGCAGACAUAGAGAGGCAGAUAGAUGCAGCUAAUGGUCCAAGUGGUCCUGGCUAUAGACCGCCACCCAGAACCAGAGAGGUGGUCAUUAACGGUCAGACGGUCAAGCUGAAAUACUGCUUCACAUGCAAGAUUUUUAGACCACCACGGGCAUCACACUGCAGCCUGUGUGACAAUUGCGUGGAGAGAUUCGAUCAUCACUGCCCGUGGGUGGGGAACUGCGUAGGGAGGAGGAACUAUCGCUUCUUCUACCUGUUCAUCCUCUCACUCUCCUUCCUCACUCUCUUUAUCUUCGCCUUUGUCAUCACACACGUAAUACUGAGAUCCAACAGGACUGGAUUUCUUAGUGCUCUCAAAGACAGCCCUGCCAGUGUUCUGGAAGUGGUAGUGUGCUUUUUUUCGGUCUGGUCCAUCGUUGGUCUGUCAGGGUUCCAUACCUACCUGAUCAGCUCCAAUCAGACCACCAACGAAGAUAUCAAAGGUUCAUGGUCAUCCAAACGAGGCAAAGGCAACUACAACCCCUACAGUUAUGGCAACUUCAUCACCAACUGCUGCGCUGCACUCUGCGGGCCUCUACCACCGAGUUUGAUUGACAGGAGAGGAUUUGUCCAACCAGACACCCCACAGCCUGCAGCCCAGACAAAUGGCACCAGUGCUUGCCCCUCCAAUCAAGUCCAGAGUCACAUGACCAUUUACAUGAUAUAGAUGCAAGACAAAACGCAACCCACACAACCUACGUCCUCUUUGCACUUCAGAACCUGCUCCGCUCUCUUUCUCAGUGGAACUCUGGAACUGCGAGUCAGCUGUGAACAAAGCUGACUUCAUUCCAGCCUUUGCCACACAGUCCACCCUCAGCAUCCUGGCACUGACAGAAAUGGGGAUAUGUCCAGAGGAUACAGCAACACCUGCUGCUCUCUCCAACAACUUGUCCUUCUCUCACACCCCUCGACACACCGGUAGGGGUGGGGGAACAGGUUUGCUCAUUCAUAACAACUGGACUUUUUCACCACACUCUUCUCUAUGUAACAAUACUCAUUUUAAAUUCCAUGCUAUUACUACAAUGCAACCCACAAAAAUACAUGUUGUUGUCAUUUAUUGCCCUCCAGGUCAGCUGGCAAACUUUCGAGGAGUUGGAUGUCCUGCUGUCCUCCUUCCCGGAGGAUGGUAAGCCACUUGUGGUUCUUGGUGAUUUCAACAUAAACCAAGACAAGCCCCAGGCCAUUGAACUGAAUGCUCUUCUGGCCUCAUUUGACUUGGAAAGACUAAGCACCACAGCAACUCUGAGAUCAGCAGUUACAGAAAUGCUCAAACCAGCCCAUCUGGCACCAACAAUCAUGCCACGGUCGAACCUCAUAUUUACACGUAACUGUACCAACUCAAAUAUUCUCGUUACUCCUUUACAUGUCUCUGAUCACUACUUUGGUCAAUUCAACAUGCCUCUCCCAUCUACAUUAAAACAGACUCUACCUUUGGUUUCCUUUUGCCGUAUCCUCCAUUCUCUUUCACCCUCUCGCCUUUCACCUGCCUCUCUUCCCACACAAAAUGUAUUUUCCACCCUUGAUGUAAACACUGCCACAGACACACUAAGCUCUACUUUAACAACCUGUCUAGACAACAUCUGUCCUCUCUCCUCAAGGUCAGCACGUACUACACCACCCAGCCCCUGGCUCUCUGACGUCCUUCGUGAACAUCGGACUGAUCUCAGGGCAGCUGAGAGGAGAUGGCGAAAAUCUAAAGAUCCAGCAGAUCCAGGUAAGUAUCAGUCUCUUCUUGCAACUUUUUCAGAUAACGUUAAAUCAGCAAAAACUUCCUACUACCAGAACAAGAUCAACAGCACCACAGACACUCGCAGAUUGUUUAGAACAUUCAACAUACUUCUCUGCCCUCCUCCUCCACCACCUGACACAUCACUGACAGCAGAUGUCUUGGCCACAUUUUUUACUAAUAAGGUUACAACCAUCAGCAAUACAUUCUCAGCACCACACCUUGUCAAACACCCAUCUCCUGUAUGCAACUCUUCUGUCUCUAUGUCCUCUCCUCUGACUGACACUGAGGUCUCUAAACUCCUCCUCUCCAACCACCCCACCACCUGUUCCCUUGACCCCAUUCCUUCUCACCUUUUACAGGCCAUCUCUCCGUCCAUCUUACCUGCACUCACUCACAUAAUUAACACAUCUACUUACAGGCACUUUUUCCACUACAUUUAAGCAGGCUCGAGGAACCCCGCUGCUGAAGAAACCUGCACUUAACCCCACACAAAUAGAACACUACAGACCAGUCUCUCUCAUCCCAUUCAUGGCAAAAAACACUUGAAAGGGCAGUUUUCAAUCAAAUCUCUGCCUAUCUCUCACAGAACAAUGCUGCUGGAUGACAAUCAGUCAGGCUUCAUAAGUGGACACUCCACCAAGACUGCCCUGCUGUCUGUCACUGAGUCGCAGAGACAGGCAAAAGCUGAAUCCAGAUCAUCCGUCCUGAUUCUACUGGACCUUUCUGCAGUCUUCAACACAGUCAACCAUCAGAUCUUACUCUCCACCCUCUCUUCGCUGGGCAUCACAGGAACUGUGCUUGACUGGUUUAAUUCCCAUCUCUCAGCACAACGACACCACAGUGACUGCUCGAAUCUCUGCCUGCCCGGCAGACAUCUCGGCCUGGAUGAAGGAACACCACCUGCAGCUUAACCCAGCGAAGACUGAACUCCUUGUCUUUCCAGCCAACCCUGCUGUUGAACACAACAUCACCGUGCAGCUGGGUGCAACUACAGUAACGCCUUCCAAAAUGGUCAGAAAUCUAGGGGCAACCAUUGAUAACAAAAUAAAUUUCACAGACCACAUCUCAAAGACCGCAAGAUCAUGUAGAUUUACACUACAAUAUCAGGAAGAUAAGACCCUUCCUCUCUGAACAUGCCACACAACUUCUUGUUCAGUCACUUGUCAUAACUAGACUCGACUACUGUAACGCUCGCAUUGCAGGCCUCCCUGCAUGUGCAAUUAGACCCCUGCAAAUGAUCCAGAAUGCAGCAGCAUGUCUGGUCUUUAAUCAACCAAAGAGAGUGCAUGUUACACCACCCCUUGUCUCUCUGCACUGGCUGCGGGUUGAUGCACGUAUCCAAUUCAAGGCUCUGAUGCUGGCAUACAAAACAGUCACUGGGUCUGCUCCAGCAUACACAAAAUCAUUUCUGCAGAGCUACGCACCAACUAGAAGCCUGCGGUCGGCUAAGGAAUGUCGCCUUGUUGUGCCAAAACAAAGAGGCACCAAAACACUUUCCUGGGCUUUCGGCUUCAUCAUACCACGUUGGUGGAAUGACCUUCCCAACUCCAUCCGUGAAGCUGACUCACUUUCUGUCUUCAAAAAACGGCUAAAAACACAUCUUUUCCAUGAGCUUAACCAGUCACAAAAAAAAAAAAAAAGAAAUUUCCUUGUUGCACUUUAAUCUGUUUUGAAUGCUAUUCUGAUGCUAGUGAAACUUUGUAAUGCAGCACUUUUCAUACCACUGUCUCCUUAAGAUGAUUCGCUUAUGUUUUCCUCUCUUGUAAGAAAGCGUCUGCCAAAUGAAUAAAUGUAAAACAAGCAGAAAUUAUAGCGCCACAGACACAGUGUUUUCAGUUUUCAAGAAAAUUAACCUAUGAAUGGCUUACUUAAAGUUGUCUGUGCAUCUUAAGCUGGGAAAGGAGAAAGUAUUUUAACACUGAUAAAGUUAUAAACUUCAGGUUUAAGCUCAAUCAACAUUUGUAGCAUAAUAAGAUUCCAACAAAAAUUAUUUCGCCCCAUGUUACAGUAAGGCACUUACAAUGGAAGGGAUUGGGGCCAGUCCAUAAAUGCUAAAAUCCACAUUAUUUCAAAUGUAUAGCCACAAGACGUAAACAUUAUACAUAUUAACAUGAUUUUAGUGUGAUAAAAUUGAUUACUAAGCUUUUCUGUGUAAAGCUAUAUCCAAUACCGGGAUGACAGCGUUUCAACUAAGUUGUAAUAUUGGAUAUAACUUCACACAGAUAAGGUUAUUAAGCGAUUUUUAUCACAAUAAAAUCAUAUUGACACAUAUAAAGUUUACAUCUUCUAGUGAUCCCUUUGAAACUGUGUGUAUUUUAACAUUUACGGACUGGCCCCAUUCACUUCCAUUGUCAGUGCCUUACUGUAACAACAAUUUGGGCUUUUUCUUUAAAAAAAGCUUUUUUUUUUUUUUGGUGGAAAUCAACAUUAA
Myxocyprinus asiaticus (Chinese sucker) is the source of this 5299-nucleotide RNA transcript. It is a transcript of the gene named zinc finger DHHC-type palmitoyltransferase 14, with no coding region annotated. Lineage: Eukaryota; Metazoa; Chordata; Actinopteri; Cypriniformes; Catostomidae. The transcript has 10 exons. The record is from RefSeq and is a predicted model, not a curated record.